Molecule: ribosomal RNA, 468 nt
Filed under: uncultured bacterium
Lineage: Bacteria
Description: partial 16S ribosomal RNA
Rfam family: Bacterial small subunit ribosomal RNA
Source: RNAcentral
GACGAACGCUGGCGGCGUGCUUAACACAUGCAAGUCGAACGGAAAGGCCCUGCUUUUGUGGGGCGCUCGAGUGGCGAACGGGUGAGUAACACGUGAGUAACCUGCCCUUGACUUUGUGAUAACUCUAGGAAACUGGGGCUCAUACCGGAUAGGAUCUCCUGCUGCAUGGUGUGGGUUGGAAAGUUUCGGCGGUUGGGGAUGGACUCGCUGCUUAUCAGCUUGUUGGUGGGGUAGUGGUUUACCAAGGCUUUGAAGGGUAGCCGGCCUGAGAGGGUGACCGGCCACAUUGGGACUGAGAUACGGACCAGACUCCUACGGGAGGCAGCAGUGGGGAAUAUUGCACAAUGGGCGGAAGCCUGAUGCAGCAACGCCGCGUGCGGGAUGACGGCCUUCGGGUUGUAAACCGCUGUCGCAUGUGACGAAGCGUGAGUGACGGUAAUGGGUAAAAAAGCACCGGCUAACUACGUG